Peromyscus maniculatus bairdii (prairie deer mouse) is the source of this 1363-nucleotide long non-coding RNA. RefSeq lists it as uncharacterized. The record is from RefSeq and is a predicted model, not a curated record. Lineage: Eukaryota; Metazoa; Chordata; Mammalia; Rodentia; Cricetidae.
AGACACUCUGAAAACCCACCAGGAGAUACCGGAGUGUAGACUAAGAGCAACACCAACCACUGGGCCUUCCAGGACAUCCCUCUCUGCAAUCCUGAUCAUCAGUUGCCAUUUGGGAAACAGUCCCUGCUCCCAGACACAUUAUUUUUGUCAUUCCUAUUCUGAUCAGGGAUUCUGGAUUUCUUUGGACCUGACAGUUAAGAGCAUCUGCCUGCAGAGAACUCGAGAUAGCUCCUUUCUCUUUGGAGGGAAUGGAUGUGCUCAAGAGGAAACUGUUGAGAACACACCCCGCCAGACCCCCUGCAUAACCACAGGAGAUACACUGACAAGAACGGGAGAGGCGUGAUGAUGGAACCCAAGUGAAAAUCCAGGUCACAACAUCAGGGAACAUUCAGUGGUACAAGUCAAGCUCGUGACUUUCAGAAAACGAUGACAAAACAGGCAAGGAGAGAGCUCACCUGCUAGGAACUGAAAAUUAUGCAAAGCCUAAGAAAAUGGCCUGGUUUGGAAAUGGAUGGAAAUUCUCGAUUUGGGAACAGCUCCAGGAAAAAUUAACUUUCAAACCUAUGAACAGUCUAGAAGGCAGCAAGGAGGAGUGUCGUUCCUCUCAAAUUUACGAGUAAAUUUGAGUAAACACCCCAGCUUCUGGUCACUGGGGACAUGACCUAGCAGUUAAGUGAACUAAUUUCUAGAUGACUGGGGUCCAAUUCCCAGCACUCACAGGAUGACUCACAACUACCUUAGUCAUGGAGGAUCUGAUACCCUUUACUCUGGCUCUGUGGGCACUGCAUACACAUGGUGCAGGCAAAACAUCCAUACCCAUAAUCCGAUCUCUUAAGUCAGGGAGUCUUUGUCAUGUUUCUGCUGAAGCGUGUUUUGCCUGCCUCCCUUUGUCCGACAUCCUUACAGGACGUUAUGAUGUGCGCUUGAACACAAACACCUUUCUGCUGAAUGCAACCAGCGAUAAGUUCACUGAGGACACGCCCCCGAAGGCUUCCUUCCACUGCGAGGCUCAGCAAGCCAACAGGUCUGAGUUUCAGUGUUGGCCCUGGACGAGGCAGUAACUCUGCAAAGCCUAGCACUGAACGUGAUGGGCGAAAGUAGUGGCAUGGACACCUCAGUUUUCUCACCAUCUCCAAUAAAAAAGUAAAAGUGCCCAGACACAGGAUGGUUCCUGCAGUGCUGUGGGAAUGUCAAGAAUCUGCAUAUAAUGCAGACUGCCUACAGUGAAGGAAGGGGAUGUGCAGUCCUUGUGUUAAAAAAAGGGAUUUGCAUGCAAUGGCCCAGGUGGGGUUCACUCUGUAUCAGUGGAAGACUGGUGUUGGCAAAGAACAAGUAUUGAAGAAAAAUAAAAAUAAAAAUCUUG